UAGUUUUUUAUGUAUAUAUAUAUAUGUAUAUCUAUAUGUAUUUUCUCUUAGCAAAAAUAGUUGAAAAUAGAAAAACAAAAAAAAUUUCUUCUGGAGUUUGUCAAAAGGGUGUUAUGUUAUGCUUCAUUUUAAGAGCAGUUAAGAGGAGCUGAUCGCUUUUUUUAGAUAAAUAAUAAGGAAUAGAAAGUUGAGAAAAUUUCUUCUGCAAUUUGUCAAAAGAAUGUUGUUCUAUGCUUCAUUUUAAGAUCUUCAUCGACUGGCUCCUCUUUCUGGAUUGGCAUUAUAUGCACAUGACAAAACAAAGUAGAUUAACAAAGUGUUUAAAAAUGACUUUAUUGUAUACUUUAGCUCAUAUUUUAUCAAAGCCUACAUUAA
This is a long non-coding RNA of Hydra vulgaris (swiftwater hydra), 375 nucleotides long. RefSeq lists it as uncharacterized. NCBI's taxonomy places the organism in Eukaryota, Metazoa, Cnidaria, Hydrozoa, Anthoathecata, Hydridae. The record is from RefSeq and is a predicted model, not a curated record.